Molecule: long non-coding RNA, 1283 nt
Filed under: Homo sapiens (human)
Lineage: Eukaryota; Metazoa; Chordata; Mammalia; Primates; Hominidae
Description: HSALNT0002225
Source: RNAcentral
AGGACAGGGCAGACCUAGGUUCAGGAGCUGACUGUCACUUUGAGCUGGAGCAAGUCAUCCUGCCUCACUGAGCCUCAAUUUUAUCAGUAAAAUGGCAAUGAUGGCAGCCAGCCUCACAGGUUAGCAACUUAGCUGGAACCAGCCAAGAAUCGUUUAAUCCAUUGGAUGGGUGUGAUUCCCCAAAAGGCCACCUGAGGGCACCCUGUGAAAGGCUUCAAGUGUGCUUGGGCGAUCUGUCGGAGGCAGUCUUGAGAAAGAAAGCAGAUGGGCAGGAGUAAGAAAAUGCUUGCCUGUUUCUCCCCUCCCUCUGUCAGUUAAGCCUGGGGGGCACCCGUCCCUGGCCCCUGCCUUGUUUCAAGUACCAUCCUCCAGCUGGCCUACCUGCCUUUCCUUCCCCAGCCCUCAGCUGUGGGAAAAUUACCAUCUUUCUCAUGGGGCUGGGCUCUGGGUCCAGAGCCUGUCGGAAUGCACAAAGCCAAGCCCAUGUCUUAAGUAAAUGCCAAAAAGUCCUAGCAGAGUGUGUUCUGCACCCACCAGGGAGCCUGUCUGCCCACCUACUGCAAGGAAGAGAAGGAGGGCUCCUUUCCAGCAGAAGCCUGGGGAGAGGGAGGAUGCUCCUGCCCGAGGACAUGGGCUGUGGCCCGUUGACAAGGCCUAGAACACCUGGAACUGACUGGGAGACUAUUCACUCUCAGCAAGCAUUCCCUGAGCAUCUGUGACCCCCGAGGCACUGGGACACACACAAGACACAAAAGAGGCCCACCCAUGAAGGAGCUUACAGCCUAAUCACAAACCAGGGAGGUGUCACAUGGGCUAAACAAAAAUGACAAAUCCUGAGAUUCUAAGGUCAAAAGACAAUCCAGGUAUCAUACUAAAAAGAUACCAAAGAGGAUGGAGUCAGUAGAACCAUCUGCAACCAGUGCAGCCACCCAGGGCUGGGACAGUUGUUCGGGAAGCCAGAAGCCAAGAAGUUAGCCUUCUCUUUGCUUUGGUGUCUUAGUUCCCUUGUGCUGCUAUAUACCAUACCACAGACUGAGUGAUUUAUAAGCAACAGAAAUGUAUUUCCCACAUUUCUGGAGGCUUAGAAGUCCAAGCUCAAGGCACCAUCAAGCUUGGUGUCUGGUGAGGGCCCAGUCUCCACUUCCAAGACAUUGCCUUGUUGCUGCUCCAUCGUGAAGGCUGUGUCUUCACACCGUGGAUGGGAUGAACUGGCCCCUCACGCCUUUCCAUAACAUCACUAAUCCCAUCGUGAGGGCUCUGCCCUCAUGACUUAGUCAUUCCCU